Molecule: transfer RNA, 78 nt
Filed under: Podarcis lilfordi (Lilford's wall lizard)
Lineage: Eukaryota; Metazoa; Chordata; Lepidosauria; Squamata; Lacertidae
Description: tRNA.Lys
Rfam family: tRNA (bases 13-70)
About the family: Transfer RNA (tRNA) molecules are approximately 80 nucleotides in length. Their secondary structure includes four short double-helical elements and three loops (D, anti-codon, and T loops). Further hydrogen bonds mediate the characteristic L-shaped molecular structure. tRNAs have two regions of fundamental functional importance: the anti-codon, which is responsible for specific mRNA codon recognition, and the 3' end, to which the tRNAs corresponding amino acid is attached (by aminoacyl-tRNA synthetases). tRNAs cope with the degeneracy of the genetic code in two manners: having more than one tRNA (with a specific anti-codon) for a particular amino acid; and 'wobble' base-pairing, i.e. permitting non-standard base-pairing at the 3rd anti-codon position.
Source: RNAcentral
AUCCAUCUAGAAUAGCUCAGUUGGUAGAGCAUGAGACUCUUAAUCUCAGGGUUGUGGGUUCAAGCCCCAUGUUGGGCA